RNAcentral lists this ribosomal RNA (470 nucleotides) under uncultured bacterium. RNAcentral describes it as "bacterial SSU rRNA". It matches the Rfam family "Bacterial small subunit ribosomal RNA", at positions 28 to 546 of the family's 1533-position model. The record is from RNAcentral.
AACGAACGCUGGCGGCAGGCUUAACACAUGCAAGUCGAGCGGAUGUAGCAAUACAUUAGCGGCGGACGGGUGCGUAACACGUGGGAAUGUGCUCUUGGGUGGGGAAUAACGCAGGGAAACUUGCGCUAAUACCGCAUAAUGUCUUCGGACCAAAGAUUUAUCGCCCAAGAAUCAGCCGCGGCGGAUUAGCUAGUUGGUGGGGUAAAGGCCUACCAAGGCGACGAUCCGUAGCUGGUCUUAGAGGAUGAUCAGCCACACUGGGACUGAGACACGGCCCAGACUCCUACGGGAGGCAGCAGUGGGGAAUAUUGGGCAAUGGGCGAAAGCCUGACCCAGCCAUGCCGCGUGAGUGAUGAAGGCCUUAGUGUUGUAAGCUCUUUCAGUAGGGACGAUGAUGACGGUACCUACAGAAGAAGCCCGCGUAACUUCGUGCCAGCAGCCGCGGUAAUACGAAGGGGCAAGCGUUGUUC